RNAcentral lists this ribosomal RNA (253 nucleotides) under uncultured bacterium. RNAcentral's name for it is "partial 16S ribosomal RNA". It matches the Rfam family "Bacterial small subunit ribosomal RNA", at positions 524 to 776 of the family's 1533-position model. The record is from RNAcentral.
UACGGAAGGUGCAAGCGUUAUCCGGAAUCACUGGGUUUAAAGGGUGCGUAGGCUGUCUAAUCAGUCAGGGGUGAAAUGCGGUCGCUUAACGAUCGAACUGCCUCUGAUACUGUUAGACUUGAAAUAGGUUGAGGUUAGCGGAAUGUGACAUGUAACGGUGAAAUGUGUAGAUAUGUCAUAGAACACCAAUUGCGAAGGCAGCUGGCUAGACCUUAUUUGACGCUGAGGCACGAAAGCGUGGGGAGCGAACAGG